RNAcentral lists this ribosomal RNA (762 nucleotides) under uncultured euryarchaeote. Its description in RNAcentral is "bacterial SSU rRNA". It matches the Rfam family "Archaeal small subunit ribosomal RNA", at positions 532 to 1301 of the family's 1478-position model. Lineage: Archaea; Methanobacteriati; Methanobacteriota. The record is from RNAcentral.
UGUAAGUCUCCUGUGAAAUCUUGUAUCUCAAAUACAAGGCGGGCAGAAGAUACUGCAUUACUAGAGACCGGAAGACGUAACGAGUACAGUUGAGGUAGUGGUAAAAUGUGUUAAUCUCAACUGGACUAACAAUGGCGAAGGCACGUUACGAGGACGGAUCUGACAGUGAGGGAUGAAGGCCAGGAUCGCAAAACAGAUUAGAUACCUGUGUAGUCCUGGCAGUAAACACUGCACACUAAACAUCAGUACCUCCUCGAGAGGUAUUGGUGCUGUAGGGAAGCCGAAGAGUGUGCUACCUGGGAAGUAUGGUCGCAAGGCUGAAACUUAAAAGGAAUUGGCGGGGUGAUUACUACAACGGGUGACGCGUGCGGUUCAAUUAGAUUCUACACCCUGAACCUCACCAGGAGCGACGGCAGUAUGAAGGUCAGUCUAAAGGGCUUACCUGACGCGCCGAGAGGAGAUGCAUGGCCGACGUCAGCCUGUGUCGUGAGAUGACCAGUUAAAUCUGGUAACAGGCGAGACCCGUAUGUAUAGUUGCUUUCUGAAGAAGAAGCCCACUAUGCAGACUGCCUGCGUAAGCAAGAGGAAGGUGCGGGCUACGUUAGGUGAGUACGUCCCGAAUCCCCUGGGCAACACGCGCGCGGCAAUGCUGCAUUCAAUGAGAUGCGACUCUGAAAGGAGAAGCUAAUCCCAUCAAGUGCAGCUUAGUUCAAAUUGAGGCUUGCAACUCAGCCUCAUGACGAUGGAUCCCGUAGUAAUCGU